This 253-nucleotide ribosomal RNA is filed under the name uncultured bacterium. RNAcentral's name for it is "partial 16S ribosomal RNA". It matches the Rfam family "Bacterial small subunit ribosomal RNA", at positions 524 to 776 of the family's 1533-position model. The record is from RNAcentral.
UACGAAAAAAACAAGCGUUGUUCGGAAUUACUAAACGUAAAGGGUUCGUAAAUAACUUGCUUAGUCAGACGUGAAAUCCCUCAGCUCAACUGGAGAACUGCGUCUGAUACUGGCAAGCUUGAGUGCAGGAGAGGAACACGGAAUUCCAGGUGUAGCGGUGAAAUACGUAGAUAUCUGGAGAAACACCGGUGGCGAAGGCAACGUUCUAGACUGCAACUGACACUGAGGAACGAAAGCCAGGAAAGCAAACGAG